UACGAAGGGGGCUAGCGUUGUUCGGAAUCACUGGGCGUAAAGGGCGCGUAGGCGGCCGAUCAAGUCGGGGGUGAAAGCCUGUGGCUCAACCACAGAAUUGCCUUCGAUACUGGUUGGCUUGAGACCGGAAGAGGUAAGUGGAACUGCGAGUGUAGAGGUGAAAUUCGUAGAUAUUCGCAAGAACAUCAGUGGCGAAGGCGGCUUACUGGUCCGGUUCUGACGCUGAGGCGCGAAAGCGUGGGGAGCAAACAGG
This 253-nucleotide ribosomal RNA is filed under the name uncultured bacterium. Its description in RNAcentral is "partial 16S ribosomal RNA". It matches the Rfam family "Bacterial small subunit ribosomal RNA", at positions 524 to 776 of the family's 1533-position model. The record is from RNAcentral.